This is a long non-coding RNA of Lynx canadensis (Canada lynx), 112 nucleotides long. RefSeq lists it as uncharacterized. The transcript is spliced from 4 exons. Lineage: Eukaryota; Metazoa; Chordata; Mammalia; Carnivora; Felidae. The record is from RefSeq and is a predicted model, not a curated record.
GGUGAGAAUGCAUAGCAGCAGGCAGACUAGCGACAGCGCCAGCCCCACCUUGGUGAUCAGGGCCAGCUUCGGGUCCUAGAUGCAGGAUGGGAAGAGCACACGUCUGACCUCC